Ruditapes philippinarum (Manila clam) is the source of this 446-nucleotide long non-coding RNA. RefSeq lists it as uncharacterized. The transcript is spliced from 2 exons. NCBI's taxonomy places the organism in Eukaryota, Metazoa, Mollusca, Bivalvia, Venerida, Veneridae. The record is from RefSeq and is a predicted model, not a curated record.
UUAUACUGACAGCUGAAGUCCAUCAGUAUUGCUGCACUAAUGUACCAGUUGACCUGACUACUGACAGCUGAAGUCCAUCAGUAUUGCUGCACUAAUGUACCAGUUGACCUGACUACUGACAGCUAAAGUCCAUCAGUAUUGCUGCACUAAUGUACCAGUUGACCUGACUACUGACAGCUCAAGUCCAUCAGUAUUGCUGCACUAAUGUUCCAGUUGACCUGACUACUGACAGCUAAAAUCCAUCAAAAUCGCUGCUAUUACUCAAAAGAUUAAAGAGCAAAAAGGUUAAAUUCCCACAAAGCCAGAGAGUGCAAAUUAUAUGAAACUAAAAAGAAUAAAUGAAAAUCUAAUCUAACACUUAAACAACACGAAAGUGCACCUUUAAAAUCUAAGCAUUUGAAAAACAAUUUUGUAAAACAGUUUCAAUGAAUUGUUAAAAUAACCCA